Molecule: ribosomal RNA, 115 nt
Filed under: Amphiprion percula (orange clownfish)
Lineage: Eukaryota; Metazoa; Chordata; Actinopteri; Pomacentridae
Source: RNAcentral
GUUUGUCUCUGAGACUGAAUACACCCAAUCUCAUCUGAUCUUGCAAAGCUAAGCAGGCUUGGGCCUGGUUAGUAUUUGGAUGGGAGACUACGUGGAAUACCAGGUGCUGUAAGCU